Molecule: ribosomal RNA, 265 nt
Filed under: uncultured archaeon
Lineage: Archaea
Description: partial 16S ribosomal RNA
Rfam family: Archaeal small subunit ribosomal RNA
Source: RNAcentral
AGUCACUGACAUUAGAUACCCCUGUAGUCCAGGGUGUAAACGCUGCAGACUUGGUGUUGGAAGCCCUUUGGGGGCAUUCAGUGCCGGAGAGAAGUUGUUAAGUCUGCUACUUGGGGAGUACGUCCGCAAGGAUGAAACUUAAAGGAAUUGGCGGGGGAGCACCGCAACGGGAGGAGCGUGCGGUUUAAUUGGAUUCAACACCGUAAAACUCACCAGGGAAGACUGUUACAUGAAGGCCGAGAUGAAGACUCUGCCAGAUUUUCAG